This 467-nucleotide ribosomal RNA is filed under the name uncultured bacterium. RNAcentral describes it as "partial 16S ribosomal RNA". It matches the Rfam family "Bacterial small subunit ribosomal RNA", at positions 28 to 507 of the family's 1533-position model. The record is from RNAcentral.
GACGAACGCUGGCGGCGUGCUUAACACAUGCAAGUCGAACGGAAAGGCCUCUUUCGGGGGGUACUCGAGUGGCGAACGGGUGAGUAACACGUGAGUAACCUGCCCUUGACUUUGGGAUAACUUCAGGAAACUGGGGCUAAUACCGGAUAGGAGCUCCUGCUGCAUGGUGGGGGUUGGAAAGUUUCGGCGGUUGGGGAUGGACUCGCGGCUUAUCAGCUUGUUGGUGGGGUAGUGGCUUACCAAGGCUUUGACGUGUAGCCGGCCUGAGAGGGUGACCGGCCACAUUGGGACUGAGAUACGGCCCAGACUCCUACGGGAGGCAGCAGGGGGGAAUAUUGCACAAUGGGUGGAAGCCGGAUGCAGCAACGCCGUGUGCGGGAGGACGGCCUUCGGGUUGUAAACCGCUUUCGCUCAUGACGAAGCUUUGUGUGACGGUAGUGGGUAAAGAAGCACCGGCUAACUACGUG